This 343-nucleotide long non-coding RNA is filed under the name Equus asinus (donkey). Its description in RNAcentral is "lncRNA (ENSEASG00005031893.1)". The record is from RNAcentral. Lineage: Eukaryota; Metazoa; Chordata; Mammalia; Perissodactyla; Equidae.
CCUGGCACUGGAGCGAGGUGUAACUGACAAUGCCAGGAGCUUGGCCCACGCCAGGAGAGCAGAGCACCAUCCACUCCAAACGGAGUGGCUGGGACAGCUGGGUGACUACAUGCUGGGCCAUCCCAUAGGCUGAGAGAGAGGAGCUGCUACCUGAAGCCCGAGUCCUGUUGCCUUGGAACCUCUGAGGAACCCACUCACGCUGCCCAAAACCACCUUAUGAUCCAGCAACUGAAGGCUCAGGCCCUGCCUAGCAGGGGCCCUAAGAUGCUACUCCACACAGCACUAGGGCCAUCGAUUCUUCCAUACAUUUAGUGCUCAUGCAACUCGGAUUUUAAAAUAUUUU